Molecule: long non-coding RNA, 3695 nt
Organism: Gallus gallus (chicken)
Lineage: Eukaryota; Metazoa; Chordata; Aves; Galliformes; Phasianidae
Exons: 2
Source: RefSeq, a predicted model, not a curated record
CCAAAGGGCUUUCUUCCCAGUAAACUGAACCACAUGUAGCUGCCUGAUAGCCCCUCUACCUGCAUCAGGUUUCAUUUCUGGAUGAUGCUUCAUAGCAGCUGAUGUCACAAAGAUGCGCCCAGAAGCCAGGAGAAGGCAUGCGGCAGAGCUCGGGAACCAUCCCCAUUGGAACAUCUCAAUGUUGUGAAGGCUUCCAGAUGAUGCCAAGAAUCCCGUUCACUUCUGGAGGGGGGAAGAGCCUGGAUUCCGAGCAACCGACCUCAAAAAUGCCUUUUGUGCAGCUCCUCCGUUUAUUUCUGUCCUAAAGAUUUUCCAGACACAUCCACAGAGAAACCACGGCAUCGUUUGGAUGGUUCGCUCAGCUCACUUCAAGAGCCAUGAAAUUUGCCAGCAGUAACCCGGUGGCAAUUACACCACAUUGCCAACCUCAGUUUUUUUCCACAUAACAUCAGAUUGUAACCAUUUUUCCAUUCUUUCAUGCCUUAACUUUUUUUUUCCUGGGUUGGGUCACGCUUCCCAUAAUGGGAUUUUCUCAAUUUGCUCCUUUUGCACAAAGGUUUCAAGUUUAUUUUAAGAAAAAGUGCCCUUCUGCAAACUCAGCACAUACCCCACCAGCUCCUGCCCGGCUAGCAAGGCAAAAAGCUUUGAUCCUACAGCAGAGCCAGGCUGCAGGAGGAGGAUCCAGCAGCCUCCCGAGUAAGCCAGGAGAGAGAAGGAGAAGCAGUGCACUGCUAGGGGGAAAAAGCAACUAAUGGGCAAUGCUGGAUGGCAAUAGAAACCUUUGGAUGACAGCAUUCUGCUUAGCUCGGUCAAAGAUUUGUACCUACAGUGGAUUUGCAAGCUCAGGAUGCUGCUAUGUGCUUUGCUGGUGCUCAGUGCCUUGCAGUGGAACAAGCCACUGGUCCAAGGAAAUCCCAGCUUGCAAAAGGCUUCAGCCCUCAACAGAACCAUCCAGAUAUUACACACUGGCUCCACACACAGCCUCCAAACUCUACUCAAGUCUCGGUCUUAGAUUUUCAGGUAAUUUACUGCUGAAGGAUGGGGCUCAGGAGGCUUCAAACUGAGGGUAAAGAGUGUUGGCAGCUCUGCAAGCACAAAGCAGCUCCCGACAAAAGGAACUCCGCAUGAGGGUGGGAGCUUUUCCUCAGGGCCAAAUCAGCCCUUGGACACAGCUGAGCUCCCAGCUAUGGCUGGAGCUGCACAGCUAUCACAACGCACUGCUGUGGAAAUGAGGCUUCCUGCUUCCUCCAGAAGGCACAGGACUGUGCUCCCAGGAAGGCUUUCCCUUCCAAAAAUCCCCUAAGGCCUUCUCAGAAAGCCAUCCUCCCAUCAGCAGGGAGUCAGAACCUCCCAGCAGCUCCAAAGCACCACUCCUGACAGCUCCAUGCAAGGGGUGCAGAGAUCACAACCCAAAACAAAUCCAAGCAGAGAUGAGAGCCAAAAGAGGCACCAAGCAGCCCAGUUCCAGAACACAACCAAGUGCAGAGAAACCGCCACAACUCAGCCCAGUUCUGCUAUUCUGAAGAAGCUGAAAGCCAACAGCAUCGGCAGACAGCACAGGGAAAGCAGCAGCCUUCCCAGCCACACUGCAGGAGCACACUCACGUGCGCACCCCUUCAUGGCAAUGCUGGCAUUGUUGGACAAAUACUGAGGAUAUUAAACCUGAUCCAAUGUCAGCAAACGGCUGAAAGGCCUCAGCAAUCAAAGUGUCUGCAGUCACCACCAGGCCUGUGUCAACAUAAGGGCUAUUCUGGAUGCAUGAAUAGAAACUUAUCCUGGACAGAAACACAACAGGCAAGCAGACGUGGGUGCACGUGUACAUAGGCUGAAGUGCCAAAUUUACACUUGUAACAGGGAAUUCCCCAUUCAUAGAGAGCAUUACUUCUGUAACGCAAUGGAAAGCACAUCAAUGACAGCAGAGCAGCAAGGUCCCAGGCUGCAGCAAGCGAGGAUUUGCACAAAUGCAGCAGUCAUAGGCACAGAAAUAAAGGAAAGAAGCUGCUUACCUUCAGAAGGCUUCAGGUAUGCAGGGAUCUCCAGCAAGAAGCCCUCACCUCCACUGCCAACCCUUAAAUGAGGUCUGGGCAGGGGUGGAUCCUGGCUCCAGCCCUUCUGGUCACUCAGAUACAUUGCAUACACCUGAGCUGCCCUGGGUUGGCCCUGCCUUCCACCAGGUGCUCAAUCACUGCUUCAGGCCCUGACUUCGCAUUUCUACUGCAACUUCAAAGUCAACUCACCCCGCAACAAAACACGAGCCCAAAAUGCAGCUGCUCUUCUCAAAUCAAACCUGGGCAUCCCUGCAUCCCAACUAUAGUGUAUGCAGAGCAUCCUAUCUGUAACGCAAGAGCGAGCCAACAACCAGCUGAGGAAUCAGGGCAUAAGACUCCCUAAAAGAAAGUAGGGAAAGAAACUGUCAAAUUCAAUGGCCUAUUUGCUUUCCUGCUGCGGAUAAGAAAAAUUCAGACUGAAGAACCAUUUCCUGGAAAGUACUUCCACAGAUUUAUUUCUAAGUCCAGACAGAACUCAGAUUACCUAAAGAUGCAUCUACAAAUGGCACUUCGCACUAAUGCCUCUGCAUCAGAGAUAUGCCACACCAGUGCCUUCUUCAUUGUAAGCAUCUGCUGCCACGGUUUGCUAUGGCUUAAAGGAUCUAUCUGUAAUUCAAAGCAGUUACAAGAACUUAUGCUCCAACCCCAAGGCCAAGGCACAUAGAGCCCAGUGAGAGCUGGAGAAAGUUGAGCUCCUCCGCUCCCCAUCAGCAUCCCAUGGCAGAGGUGGGAGAGUUCAGAGCAGGAACCACAGUGCUGAAUCACUACCCAGAAGUUGGAGAUACCAUCACACUCUCACAACACGGUGAUGUGAUUUCAAGCAAGGAGGAGAUACUGAGUCCUCCCUGUUAGUAUAGUUCCAUAUUUUAGAGAGAAAACCUGAGAAAUCCAUCUCCUUCAGCAACAGGAUGUAAGGGGCAGUGGGCAGUACAAGAAGGCACAUCCCUUUGGCAGGCCCUCCCUAUCUGUUCCAGGGCAGACCAUCAGCAAGCACCAGGAGUAGCACCAGUUGUGCUUGUUGGGUUACUCUUGCUUUUAAAAAAAGACAUUUUACAUAGGAGGCACCAGCACUGCAGAGCUGACACAGCAAUGCCAGCAGUCAGGAGGACACCCACAAAACCAGCAACCCUUCAGCAGUUUGCCUUAAGAGAGUUACACCCCAGUGAUCCUCUGGUCAUUAUGGUCAUCACAAAGUGGGAUUUCUCCAAUCCCCAACUGAGUCAUUGCCCAGGCAGCACAGCAAUGCUGCGGGCUGAAGAACCAAAGCCCCCAUUAUGGCCGGUAGGAACCAAUGCAACCAACUCCUCUACUGUGGGUCAGCAAUCAGCUGAGCAUCCAGCACUGCAGGGGGGUGAGCCUCAAAGGGAAUGGUCUCCAAGGGUUUUAGUCUUGACCUCAGCUCACAAGGAAGGAUAACAAAUGACCUAAGCUGAAUGCCUCUAUGCGUCCUCUGGACGGAGCAUGGCCAACAGCUGAGCUUGAAAGCACCCCAAGCCCUAUUCCAACCUGGCGGUACAUGGACAGCACAGUCCAGGUUUUACACUGGAAAUCAGAGCAACCAUUGGUGCCAAACUUCAAGUCGUAUUUCUCCUUGUAAAACGAUAUCAACACAUUCAAUUGGCAAAAUAUUAAACAAAAGGCUUCUAA